GAUUCCCUGAGUAGCGGCGAGCGAAACGGGAAGAGCCCAAACCAACAAGCUUGCUUGUUGGGGUUGUAGGACUCCAAUAUGGUAGUCUGUUAGUAUAGUUGAAGGAUUUGGAAAAUUCCGCUAAAGAGGGUGAAAGCCCCGUAGACGAAAUGCUGACAACACCUAGGAGGAUCCUGAGUACGGCGGAACACGAGAAAUUCCGUCGGAAUCCGCGGGGACCAUCCCGCAAGGC
This 232-nucleotide ribosomal RNA is filed under the name Enterococcus faecalis. Its description in RNAcentral is "partial 23S ribosomal RNA". It matches the Rfam family "Bacterial large subunit ribosomal RNA", at positions 233 to 466 of the family's 2925-position model. The record is from RNAcentral. Lineage: Bacteria; Bacillati; Bacillota; Bacilli; Lactobacillales; Enterococcaceae.